RNAcentral lists this ribosomal RNA (300 nucleotides) under Triticum aestivum (bread wheat). Its description in RNAcentral is "partial small subunit ribosomal RNA". The record is from RNAcentral. Lineage: Eukaryota; Viridiplantae; Streptophyta; Magnoliopsida; Poales; Poaceae.
AUGGCUUCACCAGUCAGCAAGGGGUCUAUGAUUGCCUCUACCGGUGCAAGUUCUCAUACUCUCAAAGGAAAUUCAGAUGACAUGGGGUGGGAGUUUGCAACCUUGAUCAAUCCUUUAGAUCUACAACGAGUCAAGUGCAAGUUGUGUGGAAAGGAGAUGGGUGGAGGCAUCAAUAGGAUGAAGCAACAUAUUGGGCAGGUAAAGGGAAGCGUGACAAGUUGCAAUGUAGCCACACCAGAUCAGCAGAAAAGGUGUAAGGAUGCUUAUGAGGCACCACAAAAGAAGAAUAAGCUGAAAUAA